Megalobrama amblycephala (Wuchang bream) is the source of this 977-nucleotide long non-coding RNA. RefSeq lists it as uncharacterized. Lineage: Eukaryota; Metazoa; Chordata; Actinopteri; Cypriniformes; Xenocyprididae. The transcript has 2 exons. The record is from RefSeq and is a predicted model, not a curated record.
AAUGUUUACUGUUCUAUUAUUUUGUUUUUUAAAGGUUUCUGUUAUGUCAAUGGUUUUGGGGUUAACAUUGUGGUGAAGUGUUGCUGGGGUUGAGGACCUGCUAACAAGAAUUCAUAUCAAUUUAAUAAUAAAGUGAUUACUAUGGUAGUGCUCUGGGUAGUGUUUCCCAAAAGCAUGGCAAGCCUAAGUUGAUCCUAGCUAUAUUGGUGGCAAUGGCUCUACAAUCAACUUGGGCUUAUCACACAAUGAAUUUUAUGUAAAUCACAGGAAUAAACAAGAAGCAUUAAUUGUAGGAUUAUUUGCAUAAAUCAAUUUAAAUUCAAAUCUAAUUGAAACAACAUGAUAGAUAUUCAUUAAACUACCAAAACCAUAAAUGAAUAAGACAUUAACUAGUUGAUGUUGUAACAGUUCUGAAAAGCUGUUUCAUGUUGUAUGGUGUAAUGCUUCUCCCCACCUCAAGGGGGAUCUAGGGAGGUUUCUGAAGGAAAGGCUAUCCUUUUAAGAGAGACGAGUAAGACUGUUUAGAGAGGUACUGGCAUGGCUUUGAGUGUUUGCUCAACUUGGUGAUGCAUGAGACCCUAUUAUGAGGAACCUCUGUGGUUCUACAGCUCAGUAGGGUUGUCUUUCGGCCUCAUUCAUCAAACAAGGACACUUCAUCUGGACUAUGUGAUCUUUUCUACACUUUUGAUUAUUUGGACUGACGUUUGGUAAUGGUUUGGGACACUGUAUAUUGAACUUUUGUAGAUUUCCUGUGAACUAUCGGAAUGUGGUAAGAUACUCACUUCUUACCUGACUAUGUGGGAAUUCUGAGAAAUGGACUUUAUUCCUGAUUGAACUCAACAUGUGGUUGGGCUGAAAUGCUCUAACAAGAUGUGAAUUUUCUUGUCUUUGAAUGUAAUGUUUUGUUGAUAUUGUUGCUGUUUGGGGGUGUCUACUCUUUAAACCUUUAAAUAUAUUCUUCUCUGCUCUUGGAUGAA